This 65-nucleotide transfer RNA is filed under the name Sahlbergotettix salicicola. RNAcentral describes it as "tRNA-Ile". The record is from RNAcentral. Lineage: Eukaryota; Metazoa; Arthropoda; Insecta; Hemiptera; Cicadellidae.
AAUAAGAUGCCUGAUAAAAGGUUUAUUUUGAUAGAAUAAUUAAUGUAUAUAAUAUACUCUUAUUG